GAUUAGCAUGCGAGUCGAGAGGUGUAAGACCUCGGCAUACUGCUCAGUAACACGUGCGAUAACCUACCCUCGGGAGGGGGAUAACCCCGGGAAACUGGCGGUUAAUACCCCAUAGACUAUGGAUGCUGGAAUGCUUCGUAGUUGAAAGGUCCGCCGCCCGAGGAUGGGUCUGCGGCCGAUUAGGUUGUUGUUGGGGUAACGGCCCAACAAGCCUGUAAUCGGUACGGGUUGUGGGAGCAAGAGCCCGGAGAUGGAUUCUGAGACACGAAUCCNGGCCCUACGGGGCGCAGCAGGGGCGAAAACUUUACAAUGCGGGAAACCGUGAUAAGGGAACUCCGAGUGCCCGUAAAAUCGGGCUGUUAAUCUGUUUAAAUAACAGGUUGAGA
This 386-nucleotide ribosomal RNA is filed under the name uncultured methanogenic archaeon. Its description in RNAcentral is "bacterial SSU rRNA". It matches the Rfam family "Archaeal small subunit ribosomal RNA", at positions 42 to 436 of the family's 1478-position model. Lineage: Archaea; Methanobacteriati; Methanobacteriota. The record is from RNAcentral.